Molecule: long non-coding RNA, 1781 nt
Filed under: Manihot esculenta (cassava)
Lineage: Eukaryota; Viridiplantae; Streptophyta; Magnoliopsida; Malpighiales; Euphorbiaceae
Description: long non-coding RNA (MESC_LNC008495)
Source: RNAcentral
UGCUUCUCGAGCAUUCUCCCUUCUGUUUUGAACUAGAUGCUUCAGUUUGUUUCUUUGAAGUGGCUGAAUCUUCGAGCUCUCCCAAUGCCUGAAAUAAUUGUUUUUUCAAGUCCUCUUUGGGAACUGAUUUAAACAGAUCUUUAAAAAGUUCAGAUACAUUAGGAGUUUUAGUUUGAGACUGAAGAGUGUUUGAUUUUUUAACCAAACUGAUUAAUCCCCUUUUAUGGUAAACAGAUGGGCUUCCAAAAAAUUCAAAUUUGUCCCACCAUUUAAUCAUAAUUCUUCUAGUCAACCACAGGAUUUUUUCAAGAGAAAACUCGUUAAAUUGGCGUAGUGUCCUAUUUUUCCGCAUUUAUAACAUACCACAGUUUUCUCUGCUUUGCCACUUUUAGGGCUGUGCUUUCUCCUUUUAGGAGAUGCUUUCUUUGCCUGAGAAGUUUUGUGUCUGUUUUGCUUAAACCUAUUAGGUUUAUAGUAUUGGUGCCUUUUCUGGUGCUUCAGGUGGUGCUCUCUACCCCCCUUAAAUUUCCUAGAGUAAGGAAAUUUGAGUGGUUGAAAUCCAAUUUGUUCACAGAAGUUGCCAAGGAUUUGUCUGCCAUGUAGUCGUUCCUUCUGCAUUUGCUUAUGAAUUUUUAAUUCAUUACACAAUGCUACUCCAGCUGUCACAACUUCUGACGCCAAUUCUCCAUAGGUAUAAAUAUUGUAAGGAAUCGUCCCUUCGUGUUUGGCUUUUAUUUGAUCUUUGACCCGUUCAGCGAAAAGAGAGGGAAGUCCCGCCAAGAGCUUCUCUUUCCAAAAGUUAUGUUGAUUGUCCACCCUGGUGAAGAUCAGGGAGAAGAAGGUAUUCUUAUACCAUUUGAAAUGAGACAAGUCAGGGCACUUCAAAUUCAUCAAUUGUUCUUGUGAUCUGUCUGCGUACAUACUGGCCGACCCAAUGAAGUGUAACCCUAUAGUGUAUAAUAGGGUAUUGACACAGUCACGUACUUGACUGGCGCCUUCCAGUUUGGUGGUGCUGAAGAUUUUGGGUUUUACCCUCGGCAGAGACUGAAAAAUCCCACCAACCUUUUAGUUGGCCUGUGAAGCCUGCUAUUAAGGCUCUUGUAAUAGUCGGAUCAUCAUUUCCCUUGUUUCUGCAUGCUGUUGCGUACAUGGUCAUGUGUUGAAGGACAUUUUUGAUCUGGUUGCGUACAUGGUCAUGUAUUGAAGGACAUUUUUGAUCUGAUAAUCUGACAAUCCGUCAAUAUUCCAUUCAUUAAUGGAAGUUCCAUCGACUUGUACGAAGUUAUAGCUGGUAUCUUCGUACUGCAGAUUUAUCGGCGAUGGUCUAGGAUAAUACGGCUUUAUUUCCAUAGUCGCCUGUGGUUUAGGAUACGUUAUCCUGUUGAGCUCACUUGGUUCUGACGCUUUUAGCAUCGAUUCUACUUGAUUAAUGUAUGCUUCAUCUGUAGUUGAAGACUCUUCAUCAGAGGAUUCAGGGGUCUCUGAUUCUGGUUCCAUAGUUAAUGGAACGAUAGAUUUUUUAGUGACGUCUCCUCCUAGAGCGAUCUUUGCCAAUCUUUUAGUUAGCUCAUCAAUCAUUUCUGCUCGGUCGUCGACUUUCAAACCUGUAAUUUUGGUUUCCAUAGGCAUGAAAAGGACCUUUUCUUCCUUCUUGGUACCAGAAGUUUCUCCUUUCUCUCUUUUAGGAAGGAAUUCUGAAGGGGCUUUUAGCCGAGAAACUUGACUUUCUACCCUAUUCAAUUGUUGGCCGAUGGUAUGGAGACUUAAAAUUAGUGAAAUUU